Lolium rigidum is the source of this 1731-nucleotide long non-coding RNA. RefSeq lists it as uncharacterized. The record is from RefSeq and is a predicted model, not a curated record. The transcript has 8 exons. Lineage: Eukaryota; Viridiplantae; Streptophyta; Magnoliopsida; Poales; Poaceae.
GCAGGUUCCUUCAUGGGAGCUGCAGCUCGCAGGGGUCUAGGAUCGUAACGAUGUCCAUCGCCUGCAAAUACGAGGAGAUCUAGGUGCCCCAGGUGCAUAAGAGUAUGCGGUGUGACCGCUGUUGGGCAGCCGUGGUGGUGGUGGCGUUAUCUCAGUUUCGGCCACAAUUCCCUCAGCUAUCUUGAUUCAUUAUCAACAAUAUUGUACCUCUCAAGCAUAUCUUCAGAAUCUUUAAGCCUUUCAUUAUCAACAAUAUUGUAAGCAGAUUAUGUGGUGUGCUAUUUGUGAAGGUGCUCUAAUAUAGCGAAAACCGACGGAUAGGAUUGGCAAUGUGUUAAGCAACCAUCUAGCUCACGUGAUGCAGUCCACAUGUAGAGGCUAGGAGGACUAAACGACAGACAAGAUGGAACCAGCAGACACAGUACUUAAGCUGGAGUACCUAGGGACAACUGAGACAUGUAUCGGUUCUUCUUCUUUGCUUAUAAGCAUUAGGUGCGCAAUGUGCUAGGAGAACUGAAUGACAGACAAGAUGGAACUAGUAGGGACAGUACUUAAGCUGGAGUCCCCGGGGAGAACUGAGACAUGUAUCAGUUCUAUUUUGCUUGUAAGCAUCAGCUGCAAAAUGGGAAACUGAUGCAACCGAUACAUGAACAUCUCACUUGGAUCUGGGUUUGUCUGAUGCUGCCAUGUUGCAGAUGGAGGCUGACCUUGCACCUUGGAAAUCAACUAUUGCAAUGCUACCUAUCCACCUGGCCUUUUCCCUGGAACCAUAAUCGGUUCAAGUUGAACAACAGUAUAGUUUACAAAACAAUGAUAGCUGAAGAAGAUGAGGCUAGCCAGAGAUGAGAUUUUGUUUUGCCUUGGUCUAAGAAGAUUGAGGCAUUUUCUAAACGAGGACCAUAAAUGCAACAUGUGGUCUGGCAUAUGCACCUAACCAUGGCUACCGAAUCUAGCCGUUUUGGCUUCCAACUGGACAGCUGCUGUACUAGCCAUGACUGGCCCUUGGCUUCGACUACCUGUCCUCCCGCCUUGGCCCGCAACGCAACUGCGGUGGUGAUGCUCUGCCUCGGCUACAAGCUAUUCAGGUGGUGGUGAAUGGACAAACGAGACGCCGGCGGAGCCUUGUUCUUGGACCUGUGGUGGUAGAUAGCCAGUUGGGACUGACACGACGCCGGAGGAGUGGUGGUGCAUGGAGCGGUCGACGAACAGCGUUGGGUGCUGAGAGAGAAGGAAUGGAGCAUUGUGCACUUGGCUGCUCUGAUGCAGCGGCGGCAGCAGCAAUGAGGUAGAAAUGGAGGUGGCCUGGAGGAAGGGAGCUAGAGUAGCUGUGUCCGGCUGGACUAGCGAGAUGCUGGCCUAUUUUCAACUGCUAGCAUUCAAUUUCAGGCUCAAGUGCGGCCAAGAUUUUGUACCAAUGCUGUUGUACAUGCGAUCGAGCUAGCUAGAUGUUGUUUCAUGUCCAGUGGCUUGGCUAGAUGUAGCCGUUCUGUGUACUUUAUUUUCGCUGAUGGUCAGGCCGUAUCUUGAGGUGAAUUCUUUAUGUGUAUUUAAAUGCCUUAGAGGAUGUUAUGUGAUGUGAAUGUACAUGAGCAUGAGCAUGCACUCGAGAACUGGAUCAAGUGUUUGGAGCUAGUAGCUGUUUUUUAUUGUUUGCAGUCUGACGAGGAGGUGUAAAGAAAGCUACGGAAGACUUGUAUGUUUUGACAAAACAAUUCAUGGUGUUGAUUGGCA